GCUGCGGGCGGCCGAGGGAGAGGGGACUUUGCCUUGGGUUUGAGCGCCUGACCCUUAGUGUAGACACUUAGGCCUAAGACAGCGAUUAGGACCCAGACGCGUUUAGCUAAUCCUCUCCCUGCCUCCCAGCUGCAAGAGACAGUUAAUACUUCAAAAAACUCUUUUUAAAAACAUCCUCGGCAUGUAGGAUUAAGCAUUGGAAAGUAGAACUUUUGUACACCAUUACACAGAGUGCUAAUAACAAUAUUUAAAUCCACAAACUAAGUAAUUUUGUGUGAAUCUGGGAAGGAGAUGGAGUUCAGCUUUGCUGUUUACCAGCUCCACUGAAUCAUCACUAAGUGUAUUUUAGUGAUAAUGAAUUAUAAAUAAAUUGCUAAUAAGCAAGGAAAGAAGCCAAAUUAUAAUUUAGAGUGCACUUUAAAGUGAAAUGGACCUGUAAUGAGGGAACGAUUUUGCCUUCGACCUGGAGAAAGUUGUUUAAAUUUUCUGAGCUAGUAUCUUCAUCCUGAGUUUAGUCAUCCAGCAGGGAGGUGAGCUGUAAUGUAAACAAUGUAAAACUCUUAGGGCCCAGCACCUAAUAGGUCCUCUAUAGCUAAAAUUAUUUUAAAGUAUCCACAGGUAUUGUUUUUCUAUGUAAGAUUCACUCUCUUUUUGCUUUGAAAAGGCCUUUCUCAUUUAACUCUCAUCACGUUGCGAAGUUAAAAGUGAUCAUUUUUCAACAAAAAGGUAUUUUAGUUCUCUGCAGAAUAAGAACAUAGCUCUCACGGCCUGCUUCAGGUGACCCAUGCAGUGCCUGGGUUUCAGCCUUGUGGCUCAGUUGCCUUCGCAGACCGGAGCAGUGUGGAGGGGCUGAAAAGGACGAUGAGGACACCACCUGGGAGAGAUGGAGAUGCUUCUAUGGGCCACAAGUGGCUUUCAAGGAAGCCUUGAUUUCUAGAUGUGUUUUCUGCCAACUCAAUUUCCUGAAGACAAAAUUGGUCCACUAGAAGAGUCCAGAUUGUCUUUGAAAGAAUGGCAUGAGGAGAAG
Heterocephalus glaber (naked mole-rat) is the source of this 1027-nucleotide long non-coding RNA. The record is from Ensembl. NCBI's taxonomy places the organism in Eukaryota, Metazoa, Chordata, Mammalia, Rodentia, Bathyergidae.